This 468-nucleotide ribosomal RNA is filed under the name uncultured ciliate. RNAcentral's name for it is "SSU rRNA". It matches the Rfam family "Eukaryotic small subunit ribosomal RNA". Lineage: Eukaryota; Ciliophora. The record is from RNAcentral.
AUUUGUCUGGUUAAUUCCGAUAACGAACGAGACCUUAACCUGCUAAUUAGAUCCUUUUAUCUUAUAAUCGGUAUCUUCUUAGAGGGACUAUGUAAAUCAAUUACAUGGAAGUUUGAGGCAAUAACAGGUCAGUGAUGCCCUUAUAUGUCCUGGGCUGCACGCGUGCUACACUGAUGCAUACAACAAGUGCCUAGCCAGACAUGGUAUGGCAAUCUCGAAUAUGCAUCGUGAUGGGGAUAGAUCUUUGCAAUUAUAGAUCUUGAACCGAGGAAUUCCUAGUAAGUGCAAGUCAUCAUCUUGCAUUGAUUAUGUCCCUGCCCUUUGUACACACCGCCCGUCGCUCCUACCGAUCCCGGGUGAUCCGGGGAACCUUUUGGACUCCGUACGGGGGAAGAUAAGUAAACCAUAUCACCUAGAGGAAGGAGAAGUCGUAACAAGGUUUCCGUAGGUGAACCUGCRGAAGGAUCA